GAUGAACGCUGGCGGCGUGCCUAAUACAUGCAAGUCGAGCGAACAGACGAGGAGCUUGCUCCUCUGACGUUAGCGGCGGACGUGUGAGUAACACGUGGAUAACCUACCUAUAAGACUGGGAUAACUUCGGGAAACCGGAGCUAAUACCGGAUAAUAUAUUGAACCGCAUGGUUCAAUAGUGAAAGACGGUUUUGCUGUCACUUAUAGAUGGAUCCGCGCCGCAUUAGCUAGUUGUUAAGGUAACGGCUUACCAAGGCGACGAUGCGUAGCCGACCUGAGAGGGUGAUAGGCCACACGGGAACUGAGACACGGUCCAGACUCCUACGGGAGGCAGCAGUAGGGAAUGUUCCGCAAUGGGCGAAAGCAUGACGGAGCAACGCCGCGUGAGUGAUGAAGGUCUUCGGAUCGUAAAACUCUGUUAUUAGGGAAGAACAAAUGUGUAAGUAACUAUGCACGUCUUGACGGUACCUAAUCAGAAAGCCACGGCUAACUACGUG
This 497-nucleotide ribosomal RNA is filed under the name uncultured bacterium. RNAcentral's name for it is "partial 16S ribosomal RNA". It matches the Rfam family "Bacterial small subunit ribosomal RNA", at positions 28 to 507 of the family's 1533-position model. The record is from RNAcentral.